UGUUCCUGUAUAGACUCACGUGCAAUUAGAGUUAUAUUGGGUCCGUCCUAGAGAACGAUUUGGAACCCCCCUCCCCGACUGUUUAUUAUUGAAGAUUAAUUAAAUUGUGAAAAUGGCGCUGUGGGGGCGCAGGUUUCUCUAUUUGAAUAGAGAUUUGACUGGAAUUUGUUCUCCCGCUUUUAGAUGCUUAUCUAACAAUUUAUCUGAGGUUGGUCGACUAGACACCCCAAAGCUUGGAGGCAACUAUGAUACUGGACAACUCUUCCUUCACAAGGUGUUUGGUUACCGUGGUGUUAUCCUAUUCCCCUGGCUUGCCCGGGUCUAUGACCGAGACCUGCCAAACAAGAAGGAAUUGGGCUUCAUCAGGGAUAAAUUACCAGAGCCAGAUCUGCCAACAUUUUCCAACAAUGUAGGAGCACCGGCUAAAGAAAUAAAAGGAAGAACACAUACUUACUACCAGGUUCUAAUUGAUGGAAGGGAUUGCCCAUAUAUUACCCACCGUGCACAAACUGAAUCAGUGACGUUCUUGGGGAACCACAGUGAAAAUACUAGGAACCUGUACGCUAUACCAGGGCUGGAUUAUGUAGCUCAUGAAGAUAUUCUACCUUACUCAACUCAGGAAACAGCUCCGUUGCAGCAUGAAUUGUUUGAUAAGUUUCUUCUUUAUGCUGAGGGACAAGAUCCUCCAUUCGUGGCUCAGGAUACCUUGAAAGCAUGGCAGGAAAAGAAUCACCCCUGGCUUGAGUUAAGUGAUGUUCACAAAGAAACGACUGAGAAUAUUAGGGUAACAGUUAUACCGUUCUAUAUGGGGUUCAGAGAGAACCAGCAGAAUAAUGUCUACUGGUGGAGAUACUGCAUCAGGUUGGAGAAUCUUGGUGAAGCUACAGUUCAACUCAGAGAAAGAAAUUGGAGAAUUUUCUCUUUAUCUGGUACACUGGAAACAGUGAGAGGGAGGGGGGUAGUUGGACAGGAACCAGUUCUAUCAAGGGAUCAGCCAGCUUUCCAAUACAGCUCUCACGUUAGUCUGCAGGCUCCCUCUGGACAUAUGUGGGGAACCUUUAGAAUGGAGAGAGAGGAUGGUUAUGCUUUCGACUGCAGGAUUCCGCCAUUCUCUUUAGACAGUAAAGUAGAAGAACCCGAGGAUCUUUUUAUCACAUAAUCAAUCAAUCAACAAAAAAGGGACAACUCACGUUUUUGACUUUAGUUACUCUCGCACAGAAAGCAAACAGGAAGAUCCAACAGAACCUCAAACAAACUCAUAAUUCAAUUGAAUUGAUUUAUCAUUUAUUAAUAAAUAACAUAUAGGACAUCAUGAAAAGAUGUUAGUUUUGAUAUUAUCUUUUAUCAAUUGGAAAAAAUGGGUCUAUUUCAAAAUAAUUUUUCUGCGAUCUUUAAAUUCAUAUCUCAAUGGCAUGGAUAUUUGUUGUUCCAUGAUCAAAGGAUAUUCCCCCCCCCCCCCCUAUAUUAUGUACCCUUUACUUUUCUCCUUAACAAAACUCGUGUCAUGACAUCCAGCAAUAUUAGAUUUAUCCUAAUUUUCUUGUUUUUCAAAUAAAUUUUUAAAGUAUGGGUAAA
RNAcentral lists this unclassified non-coding RNA (1575 nucleotides) under Eurytemora carolleeae. RNAcentral describes it as "polymerase delta-interacting protein 2". Lineage: Eukaryota; Metazoa; Arthropoda; Copepoda; Calanoida; Temoridae. The record is from RNAcentral.